RNAcentral lists this ribosomal RNA (420 nucleotides) under bacterium. RNAcentral's name for it is "partial 16S ribosomal RNA". It matches the Rfam family "Bacterial small subunit ribosomal RNA", at positions 355 to 776 of the family's 1533-position model. The record is from RNAcentral.
UGGGGGAUAUUGCACAAUGGGCGAAAGCCUGAUGCAGCGACGCCGCGUGGGGGAUGAAGGCUUUCGGGUUGUAAACCUCUUUCGCUAUCGAACAAGGCCCGCCUAGGGUGGGUUGAGGGUAGGCGGAGAAGAAGCGCCGGCUAACUACGUGCCAGCAGCCGCGGUAAUACGUAGGGCGCGAGCGUUGUCCGGAAUUAUUGGGCGUAAAGGGCUUGUAGGCGGCGUGUUGCGCCUGCUGUGAAAACGCGGGGCUUAACUUCGCGCGUGCAGUGGGUACGGGCAGGCUUGAGUGUGGUAGGGGUGACUGGAAUUCCAGGUGUAGCGGUGGAAUGCGCAGAUAUCUGGAGGAACACCGAUGGCGAAGGCAGGUCACUGGGCCAUUACUGACGCUGAGGAGCGAAAGCAUGGGUAGCGAACAGG